Long non-coding RNA from Salvelinus sp. IW2-2015, 2075 nucleotides. RefSeq lists it as uncharacterized. The record is from RefSeq and is a predicted model, not a curated record. Lineage: Eukaryota; Metazoa; Chordata; Actinopteri; Salmoniformes; Salmonidae.
UAUUUCUGGUUGCGACAACCAAUCAUAUCGCCGUCUGCAACCAAGAAGUAACCAAGAAUUGCACUCGCCAACCAAUCCGAGACGCCAGAGCAACCAAGAAUUGACCAAUGAGGAUAGAGCUAUUGCGGGACCUUUAAACUCUAGUCAAGAGGACCAUGGAAAUGUGUAUUUCCUUUCAGGUAAUUUUGUUCGCGAGUUUAAUUUAUUUUCUGAAGUAACAUGAGCUAUAGCGGGACCUAUAAAUGCUAGAAGAGGACAAUGGAAAAAUAUAUUUCCUCAGGUAAUUUGUUCGCGAAUUAUCUUUAUUUUCUGAAGUAACGUUAGCUACACUUUUUUGUUGUCUGGUGUUUUCAUUGAUCAUCAUCAUCGAUCGGAAUAUCUAGCAGUGAGAUUUACAUAUAACUUCCCAAGGGAUGGCAACACAUUUUGCCUGAUGUGGACCAUAAGUGGGUGUCCAAGGCAUUGUUCAGGUGGCCGGGGAAUGGGAUUCCAGAGAUGGACUUUGCCAGGGUUGACAAAAUGGGGUUGGGAUCGCCCUCCACCACCAUCUGCAGCUCAGUAGAGAUGGAGAGGUACUUUGCCCGUCCUCUGCUGCUCUGGAUGCCCAGGAAGCUCUGUGGAGCUGAUAGGUUUGGAGUACCUCUUUGAUCAGACUGGUUUGGUGCUGCAGGAUUACAAGGCUGCCAUUGAGGAACUGGAGACCGGUGAUCCUGAUGUCCAAGAGGAGGAUGAUGAGGGCUUUGUGGAGCUUGUGGAAGUUCAGGACCUGACAGUUCAGGACCUACCAAUAUCCAGUCCACAGCUUUAUCAGUCAGUCCCCUGUCCUCCACUCCUGUACGGGCUACUCCACCACCUGGGCCUCUGUACUCCACACCUGUGCUCACCAGUCCCCUGUCUUACGUUCCUGUUCGGGCUAACGUUGCUCCUUAGUCCAUGGAUAAUGUAUUGUGCAUUUUGGAGUCACUUAUUGUAAAUAAGAAUAGAAUAUGUUUCUAAACACUUCUACAUGAAUGUGGAUGUUACCAGGAUUACGGAUAGUCCUGAUGAAUUGUGAAUAAUGAGUGAGAAAGUUAUAGACGUACAAAUAUCUCCAAGACAUGCUGUAUGACAAGGGCUAUGUUGAGAGGUAGCUUGAAAGUAAGCAUUUCAUUGCACUGUUUACACCCCGCUGUAUAUAGGAUGAAUAAGAUUUGAUUUAAUUAGAUUUUUGACAGUAAGGAUGCUUGCCAUUUCAGGAGACAUAGUUCUAAAAGAGAGUACACCAGGGCUAUAUCUGCAGAUACAUUCAUCCAGGAGGGCUGUACUGCGCAGAGUUGGCAACCCAGCAACAAGGCACACUUGCUGGGUCAACAUGAGAUGCAGUUCAGCCUUUAGAGGAAGCAGACCUUCAAGUAGGUUGUUGAAAAUGCUCUGUGGUAUGCUGGGUAUUUGGUGGCAUUGAUGAAGAGUGAUGCAGAAAAACAUGCUGCCAAUCAGAUUACUUUGUAGGAGUCCCACCAUCCAGCAUCCAUUCCACACCUCUAACCGCACCAGUCCUCCGCUCCUGUACGGACUACUCCACCACCGGCUGGGCCUCUGUCCGUGGCCUCCACACCUGUGCUCGGCUGACACUCAGUCAGCUCCGUCUUCUGUUCCUUACGGGCUGGGCCUCAGUCAGCUCCGUCUUCUGUUCCUUACGGGCUGGGCCUCGGUCUUCUGUUCCUUACAGGCUGGGCCUCCGUCAGCUCCGUCUUCUGUUCCUUACGGGGGGCUGGGCCUCCGUCUUCUGUUCCUUACAGGCUGGGCAUUCUGAUGGAGCCAGGGAUCAAUCCUUCUUCCUUAUCAGUUAAUUAUAAUUUUUUGUGUUGAAUUUUUUGUCCCUCUGUGGUGUCAAAAGUAUUCUCCUCUUAGCUGAAUUCUCUAAUUACAUUUUAAUCAAUUAAUGUCAGUCUUUGAAUGCUCCAUUCUAUAAACUAUUUAAUGUUCCUGCUUGUGUGCCUUGAUUUAAAACAGUAUAUUUGUCAUUCUCACAUCUUCCUCCAAUUCCGUGUCUUCAAUUGCUUGCUUGAUUUACAAUUAAAACAAUUUCGGCAACA